CUGGCGCCUGCUGCUCCCCUCCUUGGCGGUGGCUGCUGCUCUUCCUCCUGGCGUGGUGGCGGCUGCUCCCCUCCUUGUCCUGGUGGCAUCUGCUACGCCCCCCUCCCCGUCGUGGAGCCGAAGGCGGCUCCUGUUGCCUCUCCCCGGUGUGGGAGCGUGGCGGUAGCGGCGGCGGUUGCUUCCCUCCCUGACGUGGUGGCAGCGGCUGCCCCCCCCCCCCCCAACAUCGUGCUGACGGUGGCUCCUACUCCCCCUUCCCGGCAUGGCGACGGCGGCUGUGGCGGCUGCUUCCCUCCCCCCGGCGUAGUGGAAGCAGCUGCCCGCCGCCCCCUCCUUCUCUCCCCGAUGUGGAGCCGAUGGCGCUUCUCUCCUCUAUCGCGACGUAACCACCAUGAUGAGGAUUAG
RNAcentral lists this long non-coding RNA (405 nucleotides) under Oryza sativa Indica Group (long-grained rice). Its description in RNAcentral is "lncRNA OsPr106_01g0035590". The record is from RNAcentral. Lineage: Eukaryota; Viridiplantae; Streptophyta; Magnoliopsida; Poales; Poaceae.